This 253-nucleotide ribosomal RNA is filed under the name uncultured archaeon. Its description in RNAcentral is "partial 16S ribosomal RNA". It matches the Rfam family "Archaeal small subunit ribosomal RNA", at positions 474 to 727 of the family's 1478-position model. The record is from RNAcentral.
UACCGGCGCCUCAAGUGGUCAGGAUGAUUAUUGGGCCUAAAGCAUCCGUAGCCUGUUCUGUAAGUUUUCGGUUAAAUCCAUAAGCUCAACUUAUGGGCUGCCGAAAAUACUGCAGAACUAGGGAGUGGGAGAGGUAGACGGUACUCGGUAGGAAGGGGUAAAAUCCUUUGAUCUAUUGAUGACCACCUGUGGCGAAGGCGGUCUACCAGAACACGUUCGACGGUGAGGGAUGAAAGCUGGGGGAGCAAACCGG